Molecule: non-coding RNA, 76 nt
Organism: Myotis lucifugus (little brown bat)
Lineage: Eukaryota; Metazoa; Chordata; Mammalia; Chiroptera; Vespertilionidae
Source: Rfam
GGCAGUUCUCAGGUGAGGCACCGCAUUAUCGGGCUCCCUCCUUUCUGGUUCUGGGGUGCGUCACCUGAGAAAUGCC